AGAUAACAUCCGUGCCCAUCUUCCUCUACUUUAUAUGUGGGACACCUGCCACAGCAUGGCUUGACAAGCAGUGGUCCACACCCAGCAUCCAAACUGGUGAACCCUGGGCCACCAGAGCAAGGUGCCCAAAUUUAGCCACUACGCCACCAGGAGGCCGGAUAUGAGCGGAAGAGCCUUAAGUAUAUGUUUUCCCCAUAGAAACAAGAGCGGUUGUGACUUAGGCUAAUGGUAACGCUUGGGAGAAAGGAAGAAAGUCACAAAGCUACUGAAACAACGCAGUUCUGAAGCUCAAAGCAUCUAUACUCAGUCUGCCCCUUGUCUGUGAAGAACACACAAGUGGGCAGAGACUACGGGAUGUGCAGGAACCGCUCUGACUUCAGUGUGCAUUGCCUCCCUGGAUGGCCUGCGUGGCAAAUUCCGUUUGAGACCAGAGCCCUAAGGGGCACCGGCUUCUGGUGUGUUGGAGAUGGAGAAUUGGCCUCAUGGCUGCUCCUACUCGAUGUCAGCAACUCAACAUCUCGUCCUCUCUCGCGGCUCCCGGGCCCUCAGUGGACAGGAGAGUGGUCAGCACCAUGGUGAAUCUGAGAGAUCGAGG
This 595-nucleotide long non-coding RNA is filed under the name Equus asinus (donkey). Its description in RNAcentral is "lncRNA (ENSEASG00005034563.1)". The record is from RNAcentral. Lineage: Eukaryota; Metazoa; Chordata; Mammalia; Perissodactyla; Equidae.